UUAAGCGACUAAGCGUACACGGUGGAUGCCCUGGCAGUCAGAGGCGAUGAAGGACGUGCUAAUCUGCGAUAAGCGCCGGUAAGGUGAUAUGAACCGUUAUAACCGGCGAUUUCCGAAUGGGGAAACCCAGUGUGAUUCGUCACACUAUCAUUAACUGAAUCCAUAGGUUAAUGAGGCGAACCGGGGGAACUGAAACAUCUAAGUACCCCGAGGAAAAGAAAUCAACCGAGAUUCCCCCAGUAGCGGCGAGCGAACGGGGAGGAGCCCAGAGCCUGAAUCAGCAUGUGUGUUAGUGGAAGCGUCUGGAAAGGCGCGCGAUACAGGGUGACAGCCCCGUACACAAAAGCGCAUGUGCUGUGAGCUCGAUGAGUAGGGCGGGACACGUGGUAUCCUGUCUGAAUAUGGGGGGACCAUCCUCCAAGGCUAAAUACUCCUGACUGACCGAUAGUGAACCAGUACCGUGAGGGAAAGGCGAAAAGAACCCCGGCGAGGGGAGUGAAAAAGAACCUGAAACCGUGUACGUACAAGCAGUGGGAGCACCCUUCGGGGUGUGACUGCGUACCUUUUGUAUAAUGGGUCAGCGACUUAUAUUCUGUAGCAAGGUUAACCGUAUAGGGGAGCCGGAGGGAAACCGAGUCUUAACCGGGCGUUAAGUUGCAGGGUAUAGACCCGAAACCCGGUGAUCUAGCCAUGGGCAGGUUGAAGGUUGGGUAACACUAACUGGAGGACCGAACCGACUAAUGUUGAAAAAUUAGCGGAUGACCUGUGGCUGGGGGUGAAAGGCCAAUCAAACCGGGAGAUAGCUGGUUCUCCCCGAAAGCUAUUUAGGUAGCGCCUCGUGAAUUCAUCUCCGGGGGUAGAGCACUGUUUCGGCUAGGGGGCCAUCCCGGCUUACCAACCCGAUGCAAACUGCGAAUACCGGAGAAUGUUAUCACGGGAGACACACGGCGGGUGCUAACGUCCGUCGUGAAGAGGGAAACAACCCAGACCGCCAGCUAAGGUCCCAAAGUCAUGGUUAAGUGGGAAACGAUGUGGGAAGGCCCAGACAGCCAGGAUGUUGGCUUAGAAGCAGCCAUCAUUUAAAGAAAGCGUAAUAGCUCACUGGUCGAGUCGGCCUGCGCGGAAGAUGUAACGGGGCUAAACCAUGCACCGAAGCUGCGGCAGCGAACGUAUCACCCAAGACAACUUUACGGAGUUGACGAUUGACGGAGCGAAGCGACGUCAAAGCGUUCAUUAAAGUCGAGUUGGCUUAGGGAUACGUUCGUUGGGUAGGGGAGCGUUCUGUAAGCCUGUGAAGGUGUGUCGUGAGGCAUGCUGGAGGUAUCAGAAGUGCGAAUGCUGACAUAAGUAACGAUAAAGCGGGUGAAAAGCCCGCUCGCCGGAAGACCAAGGGUUCCUGUCCAACGUUAAUCGGGGCAGGGUGAGUCGACCCCUAAGGCGAGGCCGAAAGGCGUAGUCGAUGGGAAACGGGUUAAUAUUCCCGUACUUGGUGUUACUGCGAAGGGGGGACGGAGAAGGCUAUGUUGGCCGGGCGACGGUUGUCCCGGUUUAAGCGUGUAGGUGUGUGUUCCAGGUAAAUCCGGUUCACUUUAACACUGAGGCGUGACGACGAGGCACUACGGUGCUGAAGCAACAAAUGCCCUGCUUCCAGGAAAAGCCUCUAAGCAUCAGGUAACACGAAAUCGUACCCCAAACCGACACAGGUGGUCAGGUAGAGAAUACCAAGGCGCUUGAGAGAACUCGGGUGAAGGAACUAGGCAAAAUGGUGCCGUAACUUCGGGAGAAGGCACGCUGACACGUAGGUGAAGUGAUUUACUCAUGGAGCUGAAGUCAGUCGAAGAUACCAGCUGGCUGCAACUGUUUAUUAAAAACACAGCACUGUGCAAACACGAAAGUGGACGUAUACGGUGUGACGCCUGCCCGGUGCCGGAAGGUUAAUUGAUGGGGUCAGCGCAAGCGAAGCUCCUGAUCGAAGCCCCGGUAAACGGCGGCCGUAACUAUAACGGUCCUAAGGUAGCGAAAUUCCUUGUCGGGUAAGUUCCGACCUGCACGAAUGGCGUAAUGAUGGCCAGGCUGUCUCCACCCGAGACUCAGUGAAAUUGAACUCGCUGUGAAGAUGCAGUGUACCCGCGGCAAGACGGAAAGACCCCGUGAACCUUUACUAUAGCUUGACACUGAACAUUGAGCCUUGAUGUGUAGGAUAGGUGGGAGGCUUUGAAGUGUGGACGCCAGUCUGCAUGGAGCCGACCUUGAAAUACCACCCUUUAAUGUUUGAUGUUCUAACGUGGACCCGUAAUCCGGGUUGCGGACAGUGUCUGGUGGGUAGUUUGACUGGGGCGGUCUCCUCCUAAAGAGUAACGGAGGAGCACGAAGGUUGGCUAAUCCUGGUCGGACAUCAGGAGGUUAGUGCAAUGGCAUAAGCCAGCUUGACUGCGAGCGUGACGGCGCGAGCAGGUGCGAAAGCAGGUCAUAGUGAUCCGGUGGUUCUGAAUGGAAGGGCCAUCGCUCAACGGAUAAAAGGUACUCCGGGGAUAACAGGCUGAUACCGCCCAAGAGUUCAUAUCGACGGCGGUGUUUGGCACCUCGAUGUCGGCUCAUCACAUCCUGGGGCUGAAGUAGGUCCCAAGGGUAUGGCUGUUCGCCAUUUAAAGUGGUACGCGAGCUGGGUUUAGAACGUCGUGAGACAGUUCGGUCCCUAUCUGCCGUGGGCGCUGGAGAACUGAGGGGGGCUGCUCCUAGUACGAGAGGACCGGAGUGGACGCAUCACUGGUGUUCGGGUUGUCAUGCCAAUGGCACUGCCCGGUAGCUAAAUGCGGAAGAGAUAAGUGCUGAAAGCAUCUAAGCACGAAACUUGCCCCGAGAUGAGUUCUCCCUGAGACUUAGAGUCUCCUGAAGGAACGUUGAAGACGACGACGUUGAUAGGCCGGGUGUGUAAGCGCAGCGAUGCGUUGAGCUAACCGGUACUAAUGAACCGUGAGGCUUAACCUU
RNAcentral lists this ribosomal RNA (2988 nucleotides) under Salmonella enterica. RNAcentral's name for it is "bacterial LSU rRNA". It matches the Rfam family "Bacterial large subunit ribosomal RNA". Lineage: Bacteria; Pseudomonadati; Pseudomonadota; Gammaproteobacteria; Enterobacterales; Enterobacteriaceae. The record is from RNAcentral.